AAAUGUUCUUCGAGUAUCUUC
Molecule: microRNA, 21 nt
Filed under: Nicotiana tabacum (common tobacco)
Lineage: Eukaryota; Viridiplantae; Streptophyta; Magnoliopsida; Solanales; Solanaceae
Description: nta-miR6020b
Source: miRBase by way of RNAcentral